This 254-nucleotide ribosomal RNA is filed under the name uncultured bacterium. RNAcentral describes it as "partial 16S ribosomal RNA". It matches the Rfam family "Bacterial small subunit ribosomal RNA", at positions 524 to 776 of the family's 1533-position model. The record is from RNAcentral.
UACGAAGGGGGCUAGCGUUGCUCGGAAUCACUGGGCGUAAAGCGCACGUAGGCGGACUCUUAAGUCGGUGGUGAAAUCCUGGAGCUCAACUCCAGAACUGCCUCCGAUACUGGGAGCCUUCGAGUCCGGGAGAGGUGAGUGGAACUGCGAGUGUAGAGGUGAAAUUCGUAGAUAUUCGCAAGAACACCAGUGGCGAAGGCGGCUCACUGGCCCGGUACUGACGCUGAGGCGCGAAAGCGUGGUGAGCAAACAGG